UACGGGGGGGGCAAGCGUUGUUCGGAAUUACUGGGCGUAAAGGGCUCGUAGGUGGCCAACUAAGUCAGACGUGAAAUCCCUCGGCUUAACCGGGGAACUGCGUCUGAUACUGGAUGGCUUGAGUUUGGGAGAGGGAUGCGGAAUUCCAGGUGUAGCGGUGAAAUGCGCAGAUAUCGGGAAGAACACCCGUGGCGAAGGCGGCUCUCUGGGACGGUACUGACGCUGAGACGCGAAAGCGUGGGGAGCGAACAGG
RNAcentral lists this ribosomal RNA (253 nucleotides) under uncultured bacterium. Its description in RNAcentral is "partial 16S ribosomal RNA". It matches the Rfam family "Bacterial small subunit ribosomal RNA", at positions 524 to 776 of the family's 1533-position model. The record is from RNAcentral.